GGCUUAUUGAUAAUAAUUUUAGGUCCGGCCUGCUCACUGAAAAUUUAAAGAGCCGCGGUAAUUUGACCGUGCUAAGGUAGCAUAAUCAAUAGUUUUUUAAUUAAAAGCUGGAAUGAAAGGUUAGAUAGGAAAAUAACUGUCUCUAAUUUAUUUUUAAUGAAUUUUAUUUUUAAGUAAGAAAGCUUAAAUUUUUUUAAAAGACGAGAAGACCCUAUAAAAUUUAAUAAUUUUUUAUAUAAAUAAAUUUUAUAAUUAUAAUUUUUUAUAAAAAAAAUUAUUUAGUUGGGGUGAUUGAAAAAUUUAAAUAACUUUUUUUUAGGUAAUCCAUUAAUUUAUGAAUUUUUGAUCCAAUAAUAUUGAUUAUAAGAUAAAAUUACUUUAGGGAUAACAGCGUAAUUUUUUUUGAAAGUUCUUAUUGAAAAAAAAGAUUGCGACCUCGAUGUUGGAUUAAAAUUUUAGUUUGGUGUAGAGGCUAAACUUUUAGGUCUGUUCGACCUUUAAAAUUUUACAUGA
Molecule: ribosomal RNA, 513 nt
Filed under: Bacchisa fortunei
Lineage: Eukaryota; Metazoa; Arthropoda; Insecta; Coleoptera; Cerambycidae
Description: partial large subunit ribosomal RNA
Rfam family: Archaeal large subunit ribosomal RNA
Source: RNAcentral